This 253-nucleotide ribosomal RNA is filed under the name uncultured bacterium. Its description in RNAcentral is "partial 16S ribosomal RNA". It matches the Rfam family "Bacterial small subunit ribosomal RNA", at positions 524 to 776 of the family's 1533-position model. The record is from RNAcentral.
UACGAAGGGGGCUAGCGUUGCUCGGAAUCACUGGGCGUAAAGCGCACGUAGGCGGCUUUUUAAGUCAGGGGUGAAAUCCUGGAGCUCAACUCCAGAACUGCCUUUGAUACUGGGAGCUCGAGUCCGGGAGAGGUGAGUGGAACUCCGAGUGUAGAGGUGAAAUUCGUAGAUAUUCGGAAGAACACCAGUGGCGAAGGCGGCUCACUGGCCCGGUACUGACGCUGAGGUGGCGAAAGCGUGGGGAGCAAACAGG